Molecule: ribosomal RNA, 303 nt
Filed under: uncultured Dongia sp.
Lineage: Bacteria; Pseudomonadati; Pseudomonadota; Alphaproteobacteria; Rhodospirillales; Dongiaceae
Description: bacterial SSU rRNA
Rfam family: Bacterial small subunit ribosomal RNA
Source: RNAcentral
CAGAACGAACGCUGGCGUCAGGCUUAACACAUGCAAGUCGAACGCCCCGCAAGGGGAGUGGCGGACGGGUGAGUAACACGUGGGAACCUGCCCAAUGGUUCGGAAUAACCGCGGGAAACUGCGGCUAAUACCGGAUAAGCCCGAGAGGGGAAAGAUUUAUCGCCGAUGGAGGGGCCCGCGUCCGAUUAGGUAGUUGGUGGGGUAACGGCCUACCAAGCCUACGAUCGGUAGCUGGUCUGAGAGGAUGAUCAGCCACACUGGGACUGAUAUACGGCCCACACUCCUACGGGAGGCAGCAGUGGG